AGGGCACCACCAGGAGUGGAGCCUGCGGCUUAAAUUGACUCAACACGGGAAAACUCACCCGGCCCGGACACUGGAAGGAUUGACAGAUUGAGAGCUCUUUCUUGAUUCAGUGGGUGGUGGUGCAUGGCCGUUCUUAGUUGGUGGAGUGAUUUGUCUGGUUAAUUCCGAUAACGAACGAGACUCUAGCCUAUUAAAUAGAUCGUUGGUUUACAAACGCCGGCGAGACUUCUUAGAGGGACAGGCGGCGAUUCAGCCGCACGAAACAGAGCAAUAACAGGUCUGUGAUGCCCUUAGAUGUCCGGGGCCGCACGCGCGCUACACUGAAGUGAUCAGCGUGCAUUUUGAAACCUACUCUGUCAAGAGUGGGGAACCCAAUGAACCUUCUUCGUGAUUGGGAUAGGGGAUUGUAAUUAUUCCCCUUGAACGAGGAAUUCCCAGUAAGCGCGAAUCAUAAGUUUGCGUUGAUUACGUCCCUGCCCUUUGAACACACCGCCCGUCGCUACUACCGAUUGAAUGUUU
RNAcentral lists this ribosomal RNA (519 nucleotides) under uncultured eukaryote. RNAcentral describes it as "SSU rRNA". It matches the Rfam family "Eukaryotic small subunit ribosomal RNA", at positions 1161 to 1698 of the family's 1831-position model. The record is from RNAcentral.